RNAcentral lists this ribosomal RNA (717 nucleotides) under Serratia nematodiphila. RNAcentral describes it as "bacterial SSU rRNA". It matches the Rfam family "Bacterial small subunit ribosomal RNA", at positions 32 to 740 of the family's 1533-position model. Lineage: Bacteria; Pseudomonadati; Pseudomonadota; Gammaproteobacteria; Enterobacterales; Yersiniaceae. The record is from RNAcentral.
UUCGUAAGCUACAGCUACAGGUGUGAGUCGCGCGGGACACCGGAGAGGGUGCCCCCCGGGUGAUGAGCGGCGGACGGGUGAGUAAUGUCUGGGAAACUGCCUGAUGGAGGGGGAUAACUACUGGAAACGGUAGCUAAUACCGCAUAACGUCGCAAGACCAAAGAGGGGGACCUUCGGGCCUCUUGCCAUCAGAUGUGCCCAGAUGGGAUUAGCUAGUAGGUGGGGUAAUGGCUCACCUAGGCGACGAUCCCUAGCUGGUCUGAGAGGAUGACCAGCCACACUGGAACUGAGACACGGUCCAGACUCCUACGGGAGGCAGCAGUGGGGAAUAUUGCACAAUGGGCGCAAGCCUGAUGCAGCCAUGCCGCGUGUGUGAAGAAGGCCUUCGGGUUGUAAAGCACUUUCAGCGAGGAGGAAGGUGGUGAGCUUAAUACGCUCAUCAAUUGACGUUACUCGCAGAAGAAGCACCGGCUAACUCCGUGCCAGCAGCCGCGGUAAUACGGAGGGUGCAAGCGUUAAUCGGAAUUACUGGGCGUAAAGCGCACGCAGGCGGUUUGUUAAGUCAGAUGUGAAAUCCCCGGGCUCAACCUGGGAACUGCAUUUGAAACUGGCAAGCUAGAGUCUCGUAGAGGGGGGUAGAAUUCCAGGUGUAGCGGUGAAAUGCGUAAAGAUCUGGAGGAAUACCGGUGGCGAAAGGCGGCCCCCCUGGACGAAAAC